GGUUUUAGGAAUUUAUUUAAAAUUUAUUCUGCUCAAUGAUAAUUUAAAUGGCUGCGGUAAAUUGACUGUGCAAAGGUAGCAUAAUAAUUAGUUUAUUGAUUGUGAACUAGGAUGAAUGGAAUGAUGAAACAUAAGCUGUCUUGAUUAUAGUGAUUUUGAAUUUUACAUUUAAGUAAAAAGGCUUAAUUAAAUUUAAGGGACGAGAAGACCCUAUAGAACUUGGAUUCUUAUUUUUUUUGAUUUUAAUAAAUUUGUUUAUGGUUAAUUUUAUGGGAGUUUUGUUGGGGUGAUAAUUAGAAUUUAUGAACUUUAAUUUUUGAUUUCAUUAUUUAUUUGGAAGUUACUAAUGAUUUUUGUUUAUGAUUAUAAGAUUAAGUUACCUUAGGGAUAACAGCGUUAUUUAUGUGGAGAGUCCUAAUCAAUACGUAAGUUUGCGACCUCGAUGUUGAAUUAAGAUAAAUUUUUGGGGAAGAGUUUGAAGCAAAAUUGGGUCUGUUCGACCUUUGAAAUCUUAC
This 515-nucleotide ribosomal RNA is filed under the name Aposthonia sp. KBMEB165. RNAcentral's name for it is "partial 16S ribosomal RNA". The stretch from base 387 to 515 matches the Rfam family "Bacterial large subunit ribosomal RNA", at positions 2473 to 2599 of the family's 2925-position model. Lineage: Eukaryota; Metazoa; Arthropoda; Insecta; Embioptera; Oligotomidae. The record is from RNAcentral.